Molecule: long non-coding RNA, 1748 nt
Organism: Musca domestica (house fly)
Lineage: Eukaryota; Metazoa; Arthropoda; Insecta; Diptera; Muscidae
Exons: 2
Source: RefSeq, a predicted model, not a curated record
UUUUAUUUAUACCAAUCAAUGUAGAUUUAUAAAGGUAAUCGUAUCAAACCAGCUUAAAAUAACAUAAUAUUUUAAAACUAGUUGUUGUAAUUUGAAUUUAAAUUAUAUAGCUUUGUAGACGUCUGUAACCUUUGCCGGUCACUUAGCGAGUGUCGCGAUACUUUAUUUUCUGUAUCUAUAUUAGGUGUGUCUGGUUACUUUUCCUGCAGGAAUUGUCCAGCAAAAUCUUUCUUAGAGAGUAAGGUAGGUAGUAAGUAAACAGUCGGUAUUCCUGCAAAAGCUUGCAACUAAUCAGCUGAUUUGUCAAAACAAACCAAUUUGUCCCCUAUUAUAAGAAUAAAAAGAAAGGAAGCACCACCAAUUUUACAAGUUUUUUAAAUAAAAAGGAAAUUAGCAAUAAAACAAAAAUAUGAGCAAUAAAAGAAAGAUAGAUAGAAAGAUUAAUAUUUACUUUUUUCACAUUUUGAAAGUUUAUCUCAAAAAACAAUUAGUCGUGCCCAUUCCAAAAAAAAAUAUUAUCAAAUUGAAAGCACAAAAAAAAAAAUAAACAAACAAUAGAAAACAUGUGAUCGAAUAGUUUUACAUAGUUGAAUUUUAAUCAUAUUAUCGAUAUGUGUCUUCAUUUACCGUAUUUGUGUUCACUUAUAUUCUACUACAGUUCGGCCGACCGGACAAAUGUGACGGCCCCAGUCACACGGGGUUAUUCAUAAUUCUCUAAGGUACAAUAUACUUAACUUAAAGCAUGUUUACGUAAGAAAUUUUUUCGGGGUUAACCUUCUUUAUCAAGAUUUAUUUGAGGUAUAUUCAAAGGAAUUGACAAUUUAAACCGACUGGGGGUUUUAAAUCCUCUACAGCGUAAACGUACUAUUAGUUGACUACAUACUUAAACUACUUAAUAUACUACUACCAUAGGCUCUACCUGGCAGAACAACCCUGGGUCUUAUUAUUCGUUUUCCAUAAUCACAUAUUGCAAGCCUCUAUUAUCGUAGGGUAUUUGUGUUAUCUGGUAGUUUUCGAUAUCCCCGACAAAAUAUCUCUCUUGGGGCAGCUUGUUUUUGGAAAAAAGUAUUUAAUUUGUAGCAACAAUCCAGUCAAUGCAUGAACACAAUGUUCGAACUUUUAUAUCGCUAUCUUCUCCUCAAGCAGGUCAAUAUGGAACCAGUUUUCUACAUUUGAUUUUUCCUGAUUUGGCUGCCAAAACAGCAUAUGAGCUUUUUUACUCCAAAGUUGGACAGCACACAUCCGUCGGAAACUACUGGAAUGACCCACAUAAGCAAGAUAUGUAUUUGAAAUUCAGUGUUUUUCAGCCAUACAUAAACAAUGAGAUUAUUUCUGGAAAUUCAACUGAUUUUAAAGCAGCAUUAACUAGUUUAGAUAAAUUUAUUCUUAUUGGAGGACCGAACGACGGAAUGAUUAUACCGUUGCAAUCAAAGUAGGUGUCAAAAUGUGUUUAUAAAUGCUCUGAUUAAUAUUUGUAUUUUUGUAGUCAUUUUGGAUAUUACAACGACAGUCUUGAUGUAAUUCCAUUGAAUGAGCGAAAAAUAUAUGCAUCGGACGACAUUGGCUUAAAAACAUUGGCGGACCAUGGAAAAUUGAUAAUAAUCGUUAAACCCUUUGUACAUCACUUAACGUGGCACCCAAAUAAACGAGUUAUUAAUGAGGUGAUUUUACCUUAUUUAAUUUAAAUUUGUUAAUGCUGGAUUUAAUUGAAAUUCAAAAAUAUACAACCCUCGCUCUUUUUCUGUAAA